Long non-coding RNA from Copidosoma floridanum, 559 nucleotides. The record is from RefSeq and is a predicted model, not a curated record. NCBI's taxonomy places the organism in Eukaryota, Metazoa, Arthropoda, Insecta, Hymenoptera, Encyrtidae.
ACAAUAUUUACAAAAUUACAAUACUCUUGACCUUUUACCAUUAACUCAUGUAAGCACAAAUUAAUCAGUCCAAAAGAGACAACCGAAGAAAAAAGGCCUGAAAAAGAAGCGAAGCUCAUAUAAGGUGCGAAAUGCGAAUAGACACAGCAUCUAAAGUAUGCUAUAAAAAUGCUAAGUGAUGAUAUCAAGUAAUAACAUAAAAUAUCUCUGAAAAUGCUAAGAGAUGCCAUUGGAUGUCUAUAAGAAUUAAGUUGUAGUUGAUGCAUUAUUUGAAGUUCAUACGCACUAAUUUCGCUUUUCAUUGGUUCAACAAAGCUUAGUUGUUUCGUAACUUACAAGGAUCAGUUCAGUUUGGUUUCAUAGAAACAUGAUAUGAGAUUUUAAGUUCCUGUAUCCAUUGAGUACUACAUGAUUGGAGUGCAAUAUAUUACUUGGGGAAGUUAUCAAAUAAAAAAUGAACCAAAUAUCACAGAUGGAACUCUAUGCUCUUGAUGCUCUUGGUCAUAGGGAAUCCGAACUAACAGAAUUACAACGGAAAAUUGAACUGAUACGAAAGGAG